Molecule: ribosomal RNA, 141 nt
Filed under: uncultured bacterium
Lineage: Bacteria
Description: partial 16S ribosomal RNA
Rfam family: Bacterial small subunit ribosomal RNA
Source: RNAcentral
CUACGGGAGGCAGCAGUGGGGAAUUUUGGACAAUGGGCGCAAGCCUGAUCCAGCAAUGCCGCGUGAGUGAAGAAGGCCUUCGGGUUGUAAAGCUCUUUUGUCAGGGAAGAAACGGUUGAGGCUAAUAUCCUAGGCUAAUGA